RNAcentral lists this transfer RNA (85 nucleotides) under Capnocytophaga sp. oral taxon 878. RNAcentral describes it as "tRNA-Tyr". It matches the Rfam family "tRNA". From Rfam's summary of the family: Transfer RNA (tRNA) molecules are approximately 80 nucleotides in length. Their secondary structure includes four short double-helical elements and three loops (D, anti-codon, and T loops). Lineage: Bacteria; Pseudomonadati; Bacteroidota; Flavobacteriia; Flavobacteriales; Flavobacteriaceae. The record is from RNAcentral.
GGGAAGAUACUCAAGCGGCCAACGAGGGCAGACUGUAAAUCUGCUGGUUACACCUUCGCAGGUUCGAAUCCUGCUCUUCCCACUA